Lupinus albus (white lupine) is the source of this 466-nucleotide non-coding RNA. Lineage: Eukaryota; Viridiplantae; Streptophyta; Magnoliopsida; Fabales; Fabaceae. The record is from the annotation of a GenBank genome assembly.
GAUUAGGGCUAGUAGCCUCUUCCCUUAAAACAAAUGUUUACCUUUUUGUUUACUUCAAAAAGUUGCUAAAGCACCCUGAAUAUAUUAGAUAAGAACGAAGUUUAUAAAAGAAAACAAAUCAAACUACAAAUACUUGAACCUAUAGUAAAGAAGGCCUUUUUUCUAAAAAUUCUAGCUCUAGUAACUACUGUUUUUAAACCAAAACAAAUAACAGAAGCAAAUGUAGCAUUUACACAUUCAAUGGCAACAUUAACAACCAUAUUUAUCAUUAUGCAGAUACCAAAAUGUUGAGCUUAGUUCAAAGCAUCCAUCCACGUAUAAAUCCAUUCACUUUGAGCAUUCUAUGUAUCAUAUUGCAUACUUUGUUCACCUUCAUCCCAUUGUCUGUAUUGGUUUCUUGAAUUGAUUUCUUCCAGCUUCAUGGCCAAACCUCUAUUUGUUUCUACCAGCAAUUGUUCCUUAUUUU